UUUAUAAGUAAGUUUUGUGAUGCCAACUCCGAACUGAAACAUACCUUAUCAGUUGUCUCACUACAACCAAUUCCUCACCACAUAGGGCGUGUAAGAAUGCCUCACCAUCAUCCACCAGGACAACCACCGCCUCCUGAUCCUUUUGCUCCUCCACCACCAGGACCACCUCCUCCUGAUCCUUUUGCUCCUCCACCACCAGGUCCGCCACCACCAAGACCACCGCCUCCUGAUCCUUUUGCUCCUCCACCACCACCGGGACCUCGUUCUCCACCUCCACCAGGGCCUCCUCCACAGCCAGGGCCACAUGGUCCUCCCCCGCCACCUUAAUAUCAUCUCACAGGCUCACCUCAAACAGUAUACUAGUUACAGUAUUAUUAGCAUUAUGUAUAAGAAAUAAAGUGCAUGUGUCCAUGUAAGCUUCACGAAUUAUCUAUAUGUACACACAGUAGGAUUAAUGCCUACCUUAUUUAAUUAAUUUAAAGGGUUAAUUGCA
This 493-nucleotide long non-coding RNA is filed under the name Malus domestica (apple). RNAcentral's name for it is "long non-coding RNA (MDOM_LNC008738)". Lineage: Eukaryota; Viridiplantae; Streptophyta; Magnoliopsida; Rosales; Rosaceae. The record is from RNAcentral.